RNAcentral lists this transfer RNA (76 nucleotides) under Chloroflexota bacterium. RNAcentral's name for it is "Chloroflexi bacterium tRNA-Asn". It matches the Rfam family "tRNA". Rfam says of the family: Transfer RNA (tRNA) molecules are approximately 80 nucleotides in length. Their secondary structure includes four short double-helical elements and three loops (D, anti-codon, and T loops). The record is from RNAcentral. Lineage: Bacteria; Bacillati; Chloroflexota.
UCCCGCGUAGCUCAGUUGGUAGAGCGGUCGGCUGUUAACCGAUUGGUCGUAGGUUCGAGUCCUACCGCGGGAGCCA